UAGGGAAUCUUCCGCAAUGGACGAAAGUCUGACGGAGCAACGCCGCGUGAGUGAAGAAGGAUUUCGGUUCGUAAAACUCUGUUGUUAGGGAAGAAAAAAUGUAUAGUAACUAUAUACAAAAUAGACGGUACCUAACCAGAAAGCCACGGCUAACUACGUGCCAGCAGCCGCGGUAAUACGUAGGUGGCAAGCGUUGUCCGGAAUUAUUGGGCGUAAAGCGCGCGCAGGUGGUUUAGAAAGUCUGAUGUGAAAGCCCACGGCUCAACCGUGGAGGGUCAUUGGAAACUAAUAAACUUGAGUGCAGGAGAGAAAAGUGGAAUUCCUAGUGUAGCGGUGAAAUGCGUAGAGAUUAGGAGGAACACCGGUGGCGAAAGCGGCUUUUUGGCCUGCAACUGACACUGAGGCGCGAAAGCGUGGGGAGCAAACAGG
This 429-nucleotide ribosomal RNA is filed under the name Verrucomicrobiota bacterium. RNAcentral's name for it is "Verrucomicrobia bacterium partial 16S ribosomal RNA". It matches the Rfam family "Bacterial small subunit ribosomal RNA", at positions 355 to 776 of the family's 1533-position model. The record is from RNAcentral. Lineage: Bacteria; Pseudomonadati; Verrucomicrobiota.